Molecule: transfer RNA, 73 nt
Filed under: Camelus bactrianus (Bactrian camel)
Lineage: Eukaryota; Metazoa; Chordata; Mammalia; Artiodactyla; Camelidae
Also listed under: 2 other names
Rfam family: tRNA
About the family: Transfer RNA (tRNA) molecules are approximately 80 nucleotides in length. Their secondary structure includes four short double-helical elements and three loops (D, anti-codon, and T loops).
Source: Rfam by way of RNAcentral
GAGGGUAUAGCUCAACUGGUAGAGCGCGUGUUUAGCGUGCACGAAGCCCUGGGUUCAAUCCCCAGUACCUCCA